CGACUCCAGAGCGGAUAGAGAUGCCACGGUGUGUAUUUUCAGUUAAACUCAGGACGCCAUUGAAAGCAGUCACUUGUUUGUUUAAUGGGCCCCUGAGGCUAAAAGAGCACUAUUUCCAGACUUUAUACCAAAAAUAAAUUUAUUUGGCUAAAGGCAGAUACACAGAAGUAGACAGCACUAAACUUCAGAGCAAAUCAGGACAUGGAGGUCUUGUCUGAUAACCACGAAUUGGCCCAUUUGGAUAAAUAAAAGUCUCCUUUAUGUGCCAUUUUGCAAAAACAUGCUUUUCUGUUUUGAGAGAACCAUGAUUGAUUAUGUACAUGUGUACGGAUCUAGUUGCAACUAAUUUCCGUACAGUAUCUAUUAGCUGUGUCUUGAGUUGUGUAAUCCAUCACUGUGGACAUCAAGUCUGCAUUUAUUUGUGACACAUUAUUGUCGGGAGAUAUCAUAGUGCAGCGCUUUGACCGUACAUUACCUUGCAAACAUAAUGUGUAAUUUAAUACAGACUCAUGACUCGUUUUUGAUUCAUUUCUACUGGAUCUCACACCGUACAGAAUAGAAUUGAAACAAAGAGCUGCCUAGAAAAACACAUCUAAAACUGAAUAGCAUGCAUUCAAAUGUAUAGCCUACAUGAUUUGUAGUUAUGAACCUGAAGUAGCAAAAAAACAAAACACUGAUAUGGGCCUUUAAGUUGUAGGGGGGUUGGGGUGGUGAGCAUCUUUAAGUGUCUUAUUUAUAGCCUAAUAACUCUUUGUCUAUUGCCCUAUCUAUUCCUUCUAAUAUUUCAAGAUCUACAGCAGUGUUUCCCAAACCAUGUAGCUUGUGACUGUUUAAAAUUAGUUAGUUAAAGGUCCAGUGUGUAAUAUUUCUGAUGCUCUGUUGACAGAAAUGCAAUAUAUAUCCAUAACUAUGUUUUCAGUGGUGUAUAAACCCCUUACAAAAUGAACCAUUAUAUUUUUAUUACCUUAGAAUGAGACAUUUAUAUCUACAUAACCGCGGGCACCCCCUGCUGUGGAGGUCUGUCACGAGGCCCCGGCUGUGAGCCUGUGAUUGUUGUGGAAGUCUGUCUGGUGUGCGUGUGGUGAGCGUGUCGUUUGUUUGUCUCUGCUUGGCUCUUCUUCUCUCUCUCUCCAGUCUGGGAGCUGGGGGCGUGUCUGCUGCGGGCUCCGCACUCACCUGAGUCCCAUCUGCAAUUAGCACACCUGACCUGCACUCCUCAAUCACCGCUGCUUAAAGGAGAGGCUCAGACAUCCAGUCCCUGCCGGAUUGUUUGAUCUCCGCACAAGACUCCCACUGCCUCAGCAACCACCUGCCUGUUGGCCUCGGUUCCGCCCACAGCCUGGACACUUCCCAGCUCACGGAUUUCCCUACACCCCGGACCUGGAGAGAGCCCUAGCCCUGAGAUCUCAGACUUCCCUUGCUGAUUUUCUUUGAAUAAACUGUCUAACUCAGAUCCGUGUUUGGGUCUUCUCUGCCUGGCAGACCCAGCGGAUCUCAGAAACCUUAGUCAGGCCAUAACUCAUCAGGAAGGAGUUCUCGGUCAACAAGCUAGAGCUUUAAGAGAGGUUACUGAUGUUCUCUGCGGCCUCACCACCUCCGUCACCGCUCUCCAGCAACAGCUUCUUUCCCCUACUGCCGAAGCCUCCGCGAGCCCCGCAUCUCUCCCUGCUGCAACCGCCACUCCCAACCAACCCGACCGGGAACCUUGGGUCCCCGCACCAGAAAGGUACGAUGGGAAUCUGGGUCAGUGACGUGCCUUUUUGCUUCAGUGUGAUCUCGUUUUUCCUCGGCAGUCCAGGACCUACUCCACAGAAGCAUCUAAGAUCACCUACCUGAUCGGGCUUCUCCGGGGCGAGUGGGCAACUGCUGCAUGGGGGAGACGCUCGGCAAUCAGACACUUAUGUCACCUUCACGAACGAGAUGCGGAAGGUUUUCGACCACCCAGUGAGAGGUAAUCAGGCAUCCCAGAGACUGCUACACCUGCGCCGGGGAGCCGCAGCGUGGCGGAAUAUGCUGUCGAAUUCCGGACCCUGGCUAUGGAAAGUGGCUGGAAUGAGGCUUUAACUUCUGUUUUCGCCAAUGGUCUGACAGAACAGUUAAAGGAUGAACUUGUUUCCUAUCCUGAGUUCUAAUCUAGAUGAGCUGAUUUCCCUGUCUAUUAGCAUAGAUAAUCGCUGCUGGGAGCAUAGGGGAGAGAGACGGCUAACUGAGACCACUAACAGCCCUCGAUCCCGAGCCCCACACCACUCUAGGACAGUAAGCUCAUUCUCACCACCUCAGCCAGUAACAUCUGUCCGCCCAUCACAGGGAAACGACCGCAGAGAACUCUCUCCGGAGAUGGAGCCCAUGCAACUGGGCCGUUCCCAGCUGAGCCCCGAAGAGCGCCAGCAUCGUCGUAAAACCAACUGCUGCCUGUAUUGCAGCCAGCCCGGACAUCACCUGGCCACCUGCUCCAAGAGACCGUCAAAUGGGUGGGCUCGCUAGAGCUAGGGCGCGCCCUAGCGAGCCGAACAACCGCUCCAUCAUCCCCUCGCCGACGCACUUACCUUCAGGACACCAUCUCUCACGAAGGUCAGUCAAACGCUUUGCAAGCAUUUGUUGAUUCAGGAGCUGAUAGCUUUCUGGACGGAACGGUCACCAAACACUCGGGCCUAACCACCAUUCCCCUCCAAGAACCCCUGGUGGUUAAUGCCCUAGAUGGCAGACCUUUGGACGGGUAACCUCCAGAACCUCUCCUCUGCAGCUCCAGCUCUCCAGUAACCAUCAUGAGCAGAUUAGCCUGUACAUCAUUGACUUCCCUCACACUCUGCUGAUUCUUGGGUACCCCUGGUUAGUUAAACACAACCCCAUUAUUGAUUGGUCCACUGCCAAGGUCACUAGCUGGAGUUCCACCUGCCACUCAGAGUGUCUUAGGUCAGCCUCACCGCAGCCAGUCCCUGCCCCUAGCCCCUCUGCCAUUACUCCUGACUUGGCUCACAUUCCUCCGGUUUACCACGAUCUCAGAGAUGUGUUCAGCAAACAAGCCCUGUCCUUGCCCCUCCACCGCCCCUUUGACUACCAGGAAACGGCUCCAGAGGUUCCUUGGGUUUGCUAACUUACCGAAGAUUUAUCCAGAACUAUAGCCAUGUGGCUGCGCCUCUAACCUCUCACUUCCUCCAGCAGACCUUUCUCCUGGACCCCAGAGGCCAGUGCCUUUGUGGAGCUCAAGUCCCGUUUCUCCUCAGCCCCCAUCCUGGUCCAACCUGACCCAUCUCGGCAUCUGACGCCUCGGACGUUGGGUUGGGAGCGGUUCUCUCCCAGCAUUCUGCUGAGGACGGCAAGCUCCACCCCUGUGCCUUCCUCUCCCGCCGCUUCUUCCCCUCGGAACACAACUACGAUGUUGGUAAUAGGGAGCUGCUGGCAGUGAAGUCAGCCCUGGAAGAGUGGCGCCACUGGCUGGAGGGGGGCCGAACAUCCAUUUGUCUGGACCGAUCACAAGAACCUUGAGUACAUCAGAUCUGCCAGACAACUAAACUCUCGUCAGGACAGGUGGGCGCUGUUUUUUGGACGCUUUAACUUUUCUCUAACUUACAGACCCGGCUCCCGAAACACCAAACCGACACCCUUUCCAGAGCCUUUAAAGGGGAAGGACAGUGCGACUCCAGUCUUGGACACCAUCUUGCCUGACUCGUGCAUCACUGGAGCUGUCUCUUGGAGCAUCGAAAGAGAGGCUCUCCGUGAAGACCCUGGCCCCAGUAAGGCUCCACCCGGCACCUUAUUUGUUGCAUCUGGUUAACCUUUGUUUCUCUCUCCCAGAAGACUCCCACCACCUCAGCAACCACCUGCCUGUUAGCCUCAGUUCCACCCACAGCCUGGACACUUCCCAGCUUAUGGAUUUCCCUACACCCCGGACCUGGAGAGAGCCCUAGCCCUGAGAUCUCAGACUUCCCUUGCUGAUUUUCUUUGAAUAAACAGUCUAACUCAGA
Micropterus salmoides (largemouth bass) is the source of this 3965-nucleotide long non-coding RNA. RefSeq lists it as uncharacterized. The transcript is spliced from 2 exons. The record is from RefSeq and is a predicted model, not a curated record. NCBI's taxonomy places the organism in Eukaryota, Metazoa, Chordata, Actinopteri, Centrarchiformes, Centrarchidae.